RNAcentral lists this transfer RNA (88 nucleotides) under Omnitrophica bacterium RIFCSPLOWO2_12_FULL_50_11. RNAcentral's name for it is "tRNA-Leu". It matches the Rfam family "tRNA". From Rfam's summary of the family: Transfer RNA (tRNA) molecules are approximately 80 nucleotides in length. Their secondary structure includes four short double-helical elements and three loops (D, anti-codon, and T loops). The record is from RNAcentral. Lineage: Bacteria; Pseudomonadati; Candidatus Omnitrophota.
GCCGGGAUGGCGGAAUAGGCAGACGCAUGGGACUUAAAAUCCCAAGGGCUUUUAAAAGCCCGUGCCGGUUCAAGUCCGGCUCCCGGCA